AGUUUUCAAGUGAAUAGCGGUAGGCUUGAAACAAGGAGAGCAAUACUCAUAGACAGGAGUGUUUCACUCGCUACCGCGUCACGCAAAGGCAUCAGCUGCAAUAACAACUAUGAAACUCUUUAUUGGUUUUUCUUAUUGAACACACUUUAGCGUAACGAGCAACUCUGACGCACCACAUUAGGCUCAACUACACUUUUGCUAUUAAUUAGGACUUCGCCCCAACUCUAGUAUUUGAUUUGAAGCGAGGUCUACUUCAGUCUCGUCUUCCAGUCUUGUUCCAGAAGCAGAUGAGGCUGCCAAUAACAUAUGAUUCCCUUAAAGCCAGGGCAGAAGCUAAUUAUUCUUCGUAGGGGUUUACAGACACAGCCGAUUCCCUAAUAGCCUGCCCAUUCUAGUAUCAAUGAGACUCUAUUCUUUAUACGAGAAAACAGGAACUAGAAAUGGAACUGAACCUUGAAACUGUGGAGCUUGACAAAGAGGGCUUUCUAUAGAUUGAUUCAUUCAUAGGUGAGUAAGGCGCUGCUUCUUUGCGCUCCAGGAAAUGAGAUUGAUUCCAAAGGCGAAGAUUUCCAUGAACUAAAGCCCGAGGUAGAGCGUAGGUCGUAAGCCUGCCUUCCUUAUUUGUAGAAAAGUAGGGGCGGAUAGCUUGACACCCAGAGAGAUAGGCGUAGCGCAGGGCAGGAUAGACAAUCUCCGAAGAAAAGAAAGAGUAUAUAUACCUUGUUUGGCUUAGACGAAGGAAGUCCAUAGGGGUAGAGCGCCAUGCCGAGAAAGUCAUGCUGCGGAUAAAAGAGGUUGCCCAUAUCAAAGAAAUGAAUUUGACUCAUUAUAUCAAAUAAUACGUUAUACUUCCUUAUUCUGUCGAGUAAGCUCAAUUACUUCAACCCUCUCCCUUAAGUAUCGGUUACCACUCACUCUGGGUAGUAAACAAACCCUAUUAUUUCUAUACUUACGUUGUGUCGGUUACCACUCAUUCUGGGUAGUAAACAAACCCUCUAAACGGACUAAUGGUACAGGGAAGUGAAUAAGCUAAAUGGUAUAGGGAAGUGAAUAAGCUAAUGGUAUAGGGAAGUGAAUAAGGUGAGUAUGGAUAGGCUCAUGAAUUAUAGUUCCGGGGUAAAUAAUCUCUUAUGUUAUAACAACACCUACAGCAAACACAACGUAGGAAAUAUCAGAACCCCUAAUUAUAAGAAAAGUCUUAGUUCGCUAUUACAGCCGCCGACGAGAAUGUCAUGAUGAUAUUGCUAUGUGCGCCACUCUAGCUUUGAUCAUAUGUUUUUAAUAGUAUUAUGGGAUUUUUCAUAUUCGUCGUAGAUUGAAAAGGGAUAAGUUCUUAACUGACAGAGUCUAAAUAUCACACACACCGGAUAGAUCAUUCAAUGGAAAGCCGAAGGCGAAGAGUUAGGUGAGAGAAAGCGUCCUUUGCUUUGUUGAUACCUAGUGUACACGGCCACCUACUUCAAUGGAUUCAUAAAGCUUGUGCCCUUUCUCUUGCUGGCCUUGCUUCCUUUUGUUCACCGCGAAGAAUUCCAUCUUGAAAGAGAGAAGAAAGAGGCUUUGUUAGGAAUUUCAGAAUCAAAGAAUAGGAUGCUUAACUUGAAUGUCCAGAAUGCGCUCUUCUUGUUACAGAAUAAGCUGCACAUGAACUGGUCGAGUGAAGUGAGUAAGCCCCUGGAGAGAGAGAUAGGAAAAGGGCAUGGCCUAACAGCUUUAUUGAGAGAUUUCGACACCAUUGAGAAUUGGUGAAUGAAUCUGACCCCUAUCUCCGUGGUGGAAGUUCCGGUCGCCAUUGAGAAUGAUUUCAUUAAUUAGCCUCUAUCUCUGUGGGGGAAGUUCCGGUCGUCAUUGCCUAAGUAAGGUCUGGCUCAGAAAGCACCUCCACCCGGGUAGAAGGCUAGGUCAAGUAGCCUUAAUAAUCAAGUAUGAGAAGGCAGCGCAGCAAGCCGAUCCGACAUAGGUUCAAAGGCAUGCACCUUUCCUUAUCUCAAACACACACACACACAUCUUAUUAGAAUAUCAAAAGUAACAAAACCAUACCUUGCUCUAAUGAAAAGAAAAGAAUAUAAGAAACAUCUAAAUAUAGUAACAAAACCACAUCAACACUCUAAUGAAAAUCAUAUAAGUCACACACAUAUUAUAGAAAGAAGUAACAAACCCACAUUUGAAAAGAAUAUCAUAAAGUGUGCACAUAUAUAUCUAAGAGAAGAAUCGGACCCAUGCAUAUACUAUACAAUACUCCCUUCUUCUGAUUUCUGAUAUACUAUACAAUACUCCCUUCUUCUGAUUUCUUGUUGAAGAGAGCUAUCAUCUCUUCAGGGUAGCUGACCACAUGCCCUAACACCAAUUCUCAGUCUCUUAAGCAAAGUGGAGUCUCUUUUGGCCCCCGCUGCUUCUGUUAAAGAGAUAUGCUGCAUUGGAAGAAAACGUAGUUACAGAGCCAUGACAGUUGUUAAAAGGAAUAUGCUUUUGGAGGAACUCUUACAUGAUGGCGGAUGAGAAAUAAGGGGUCAAACUAUUGACUUUCAAAGGAGAGAUUGUAGGUCAAACUAUUGACUUUCAAAGGAGAGAUUGUAUUCCCCAUCCGCUAGAUAGUAUAUUAGUCCCCAUCUAAGGAGUAGCUAUCAUUCCAUGCCUCCACUGCUGCACAUCAUAGCUUGAAGUGCUGGUUGGCUCAACUUGCUCCUUCUUUGGUUGUUGAGGUGGAAACUUCCCUUCCAACUUCCUAUUCUUCAAGACGAGUUCACCCAUCCGUCGAGUGAGAUCAAUCUCCUUGAGCUUCCCACCUCUCCUAAUCCUAACUAAAGGGCUAGGGCCUUCCUCUAUGCAUAGUUAGAAACAUUAGAGCCCACCACUAGAAGGAUUCCCUUGCGUCUGUCACUUAUGCCUCCGCCUUUAUCUAGUAUAUUCUCUCCUCGUUCUAAUUAUACUUAGUUGGUGUUGCUAGUUUCAUAAAACACUUCUUUGUAGAGUAAUCUGCCCUCCUAUCUGCUUCUCUGAUCGAUGCCGUCUUCUUUUGACUACUAAAGCCUUUCGUCGCUCUCAUUGCUUUCCGAUAGCUGCUUUGUUCCGGGCAAGAGGAACUAUUGAGGGCAUCUCUUCCACUUUAUGCGUUUAGUGUCACUACACUACUGAACAACUCUUCCUUAAAGCAAAAGCAUACUUAGAGGCUAAGGGAAAGGAGAAUAAGUUCACAGCUUCACUCCGAUCCGUAUCAAGAUUAUUAUCUGGAUUCUAUUUCUGUGGAAUCGAGCUUUGCCCCUUACCGGAAAAAGUACUAUCGAAAUAGACUUAAUACACUGUUAACUAGUCCUGUUUUUGGCUAACCCAUUGAAUAUCUCUCCUCGCCCCCAAAGGAAUCAUUGAAUUCAAAAGGUGAUCGAGCUCCCGUUAGCGCCCCAGAACCUUUGCUUUGCUUUCCUAAUCUUACACUUGAAACUAAAACGGAUUUCUUGCUUGUGGCUUCUGGAACCCUACUUAUAGAAUCUGGCAACUCAGAAUGAAUUUGAUCCAAAAGAGUGGAGCGGCCCCAAAAGCAUCUAUUGUAAUAACUUGUCAUAUCUAUUACCUUGGCUACCGCACUUAGUCUUGCGCCUAAGCUUGGUCGUUAGUAGUUGCUUGGCUCCUUACGCGCACCUAAACUAUAUUACACAGAUACUGGUUCCCUUUCAAGCUUUGGAGUGAACAAGAUUCUUCUGUUGAGUUGAAGCGGAUUCAGAACUUGUGGAUUCCCUUGCUGGUUCUUUUCGAUUUGAUUUGUAUUCAGAUCCUGCCCCUGCCGAUUAUUCCUCUCUUAGAGACUCUCCUCGCACUGCUGCCACUGCUGAUUCUGUUGCGAGAAUGCAAUGCACUCGGUCAAGCUAAUCACGCAAAGGGAAGGGAUAUAGUUCACAAAGGAAUAGCUGCUCCCCUGGCAGAACCCCUAUGGCAACUGAAAAUAAGGAUGAACUUUCUGAACCGCUACAUAGGUCUCAGUCAAUAAGCCUAGCAACGGGUGGGUCCUCACUUCAACAUAUGGAACUCGUAGACACCUUGCUGAAGAACGAAACUCUUAACUUCCCGCUUACCCACUGCUUUUAACCGCUAAUUCUCUUGUUACUGGUGAUACUCCUGCUUUAUAUAGGUACUCCUAACCAGCUCUAACUGCUUCCUUUCCCUAUUUUGAAUCUACAGAACAAGCAGGAAUUGACCUAGACUUAACUGGCACACUGCUCGCUUCUUCUCCGGAUCAAGCAUCUGAUCUUAUUGCAAUACCAGAUAACGAGUUGUUGGCUUUCACACCAGAUGGGGAGCGCCGAGGAAACUCCAUUCUCAAUUCGAUUCUUUUACACCAAGGUACGUAAUUUAGCGCAUGUGUACUGUAUGGAUGACUUCUUAUCUAUUAGGCAUUGGCAUCAGCUCUUUCAAACGCAAACAAGAAUCUUUCUAGGAAUUGAAGACCGCUGGUGGUUUAUCUGAUUCUUGCACUAUUUGGGUGGUUACUUAUUCUAUUA
RNAcentral lists this long non-coding RNA (4490 nucleotides) under Musa acuminata (dwarf banana). Its description in RNAcentral is "long non-coding RNA (MACU_LNC008311)". The record is from RNAcentral. Lineage: Eukaryota; Viridiplantae; Streptophyta; Magnoliopsida; Zingiberales; Musaceae.